ACUCCUACGGGAGGCAGCAGUGGGGAAUAUUGCACAAUGGGCGCAAGCCUGAUGCAGCAACGCCGCGUGAGCGAUGAAGGCCUUCGGUCGUAAAGCUCUGUCCUCAAGGAAGAAUAAAUGACGGUACUUGAGGAGGAAGCCCGGCUAACUACGUGCCAGCAGCCGCGGUAAUACGUAGGGGGCAAGCGUUAUCCGGAAUCACUGGGCGUAAAGGGGUGCGUAGGCGGUUUUCAAGUCAGAAGUGAAAGGCUAUGGCUCAACCAUAGUAAGCUUUUGAAACUGUUAAACUUGAGUGCAGGAGAGGAAAGUGGAAUUCCUAGUGUAGAGGUGAAAUUUGUAGAUAUUAGGAGGAACACCAGUGGCGAAGGCGACUUUCUGGACUGUAACUGACGCUGAGGCACGAAAGCGUGGGGAGCAAACAGGAUUAGAUACCCUGGUAGCACAGAG
RNAcentral lists this ribosomal RNA (447 nucleotides) under uncultured bacterium. RNAcentral's name for it is "bacterial SSU rRNA". It matches the Rfam family "Bacterial small subunit ribosomal RNA", at positions 335 to 799 of the family's 1533-position model. The record is from RNAcentral.